GACGAACGCUGGCGGCGUGCUUAACACAUGCAAGUCGAACGGAAAGGCCCUGCCUUUGUGGGGUGCUCGAGUGGCGAACGGGUGAGUAACACGUGAGUAACCUGCCCUUGACUUAGGGAUAACUUCAGGAAACUGGGGCUAAUACCGGAUAGGAGCUCCUGCUGCAGGGUGGGGGUGGGAAAGUUUCGGCGGUUGGGGAUGGACUCGCGGCUUAUCGGCUUGUUGGUGGGGUAGUGGCUUACCAAGGCUUUGACGGGUAGCCGGCCUGGGAGGGUGACCGGCCACGUUGGGCCUGGGAUGCGGCCCAGCCUCCUCCCGGAGGCAGCGGUGCGGUAUAUUGCACUAUGGGCGGGACCCUGGUGCAGCAACGCCGCGUGGGGGAUGACGGCAAUCGGGUUGUAAACCGCUUUCGCCUGUCACGAAGCGUUAGUGACGGUAAUGGGUAAAGAAGCACCGGCUAACUCCGUG
Molecule: ribosomal RNA, 468 nt
Filed under: uncultured bacterium
Lineage: Bacteria
Description: partial 16S ribosomal RNA
Rfam family: Bacterial small subunit ribosomal RNA
Source: RNAcentral